This 536-nucleotide ribosomal RNA is filed under the name Citrobacter freundii. Its description in RNAcentral is "bacterial SSU rRNA". It matches the Rfam family "Bacterial small subunit ribosomal RNA", at positions 997 to 1533 of the family's 1533-position model. The record is from RNAcentral. Lineage: Bacteria; Pseudomonadati; Pseudomonadota; Gammaproteobacteria; Enterobacterales; Enterobacteriaceae. RNAcentral also lists the same sequence under 2 other names.
UUAGCAGAGAUGCUUUGGUGCCUUCGGGAACUCUGAGACAGGUGCUGCAUGGCUGUCGUCAGCUCGUGUUGUGAAAUGUUGGGUUAAGUCCCGCAACGAGCGCAACCCUUAUCCUUUGUUGCCAGCGGUCCGGCCGGGAACUCAAAGGAGACUGCCAGUGAUAAACUGGAGGAAGGUGGGGAUGACGUCAAGUCAUCAUGGCCCUUACGAGUAGGGCUACACACGUGCUACAAUGGCAUAUACAAAGAGAAGCGACCUCGCGAGAGCAAGCGGACCUCAUAAAGUAUGUCGUAGUCCGGAUUGGAGUCUGCAACUCGACUCCAUGAAGUCGGAAUCGCUAGUAAUCGUGGAUCAGAAUGCCACGGUGAAUACGUUCCCGGGCCUUGUACACACCGCCCGUCACACCAUGGGAGUGGGUUGCAAAAGAAGUAGGUAGCUUAACCUUCGGGAGGGCGCUUACCACUUUGUGAUUCAUGACUGGGGUGAAGUCGUAACAAGGUAACCGUAGGGGAACCUGCGGUUGGAUCACCUCCUUA